GUCACAUCACGUUGAAACACAUAUUUCUGUACGAACACCGAAGUUAAGCAACGUCGAGCCUGGCUAAUACCUAGAUGGAUGACCGCUUGGGAAUACCAGGUGUUGUAAG
Acanthosepion pharaonis is the source of this 109-nucleotide non-coding RNA. NCBI's taxonomy places the organism in Eukaryota, Metazoa, Mollusca, Cephalopoda, Sepiida, Sepiidae. The record is from the annotation of a GenBank genome assembly.